CAGUCGCCACGGUAAAACGGAGGAUCCAAGCGUUAUCCGGAAUCAUUGGGUUUAAAGGGUCCGUAGGCGGUCUUGUAAGUCAGUGGUGAAAGCCCAUCGCUCAACGGUGGAACGGCCAUUGAUACUGCAGGACUUGAAUUAUUGGGAAGUAACUAGAAUAUGUAGUGUAGCGGUGAAAUGCUUAGAGAUUACAUGGAAUACCAAUUGCGAAGGCAGGUUACUACCAAUUGAUUGACGCUGAUGGACGAAAGCGUGGGUAGCGAACAGGAUUAGAUACCCGCGUAGUCCCUGUCUCUUAUAA
RNAcentral lists this ribosomal RNA (301 nucleotides) under uncultured bacterium. RNAcentral's name for it is "partial 16S ribosomal RNA". It matches the Rfam family "Bacterial small subunit ribosomal RNA", at positions 509 to 809 of the family's 1533-position model. The record is from RNAcentral.